UAUUUGCUAGAAAUCUAUUUUAAGCAUCCAUUUUGAGUUGUUGAGAAGUAUCCAAUAGCUUUACUCAAAAUCUCUCAAUCCACUGAAUGGAUAUAUAAAAUAUAUAAUGUUAGAAGGAACAUCAACGUUCAUUCUGCAUCUUUUAAGCGACAAAUAAUCAAAUAGAUUAUCUGCAUAAAUGAACAUCUUUUAUCAGCAACAGUUAAAGCAAACAUCAUACACCUACUUUUAUAAAAUCACUCAAACAUUCAAGAGUAGAGAAAAGAAUAAAAACCCAAACAAUGAGAAGAAUUCACAUAAAAUCAAACAAUAAGAUAAAUAAGAAACUCAAUAAACUAUCAAGUGAAGCAAUGAUUGAGAGUCUAGCUAAUAUAUCCAUUAGAACAAACAAAAUAUAUAGAAAAAGCAAAAACAUGGAUUUGCGAAUGAGCUUUUCCCUUUGCCAUUCAAAGGCAAUGAUGAGUCUGGCUGAUAAGAGCAUGCAAUGUGAAGAGAAUGGUGAUGUGAGCAUGGCAAUACGUAUCAGCACUCUCGUAUAACAUAUGUACGUUCAGCACUCGUAUAAAACCCUAACUGGUUCUUAUCUCUGUUUGUAUAAUUUUUUUUUUUUUUUUUGGGAAAACAUACUUGUAGAAGUUUUCCAACAUUUUCCCGGUGAUGGGAAAAUGCCUCCUUUUUCAGGGAGAAAUUUGAGAAGGAAAGCAUAGUUAUCAUUUAUAAACUUUCUUUAUUAUACCAUGCUUUUUGAUAUUUUAUACGUGUAUAUCUGAGCAGGAGAAGGCUUUACACCUAUAGAGUUGAACGGGUAAUGGAAUUCGACGCGGCUUACAGAUACUCUUUCGCUUGCUUUGCCCAAGUGGGCUCGCUGCUUUGCGAUGUAAUGAUAGGCACUAUACAAGUGGGUAUGCUAAAAUUUGGGCUUUCUUACUUCAGCUCACAACCAUUGGUCCUGGAAUUUCGCCAUAUAGCUGUACAGAAUGGAUUUUGUAUAUCUGAAUCGAAUUGGAAAUUGAAUUCAACAACCAGUUAGAUGAUUAGAUAAGUACAUAGAAAAGAGGCCCAAUAUUCGUCAAUCAUUGAGAUAGAGAAAGAAAAUGGGAAUAAUGAACAAGAGAGAGUAUUGUUUUAAAGGGUAGGAAUUCUCGAAAAGAUUUUGGAAGCUGAGUGGAAAACCAGAAGAAAAAGGUUGGAAGAUGCUUCAGGAAAAUGGGUCGGUGGCUGCCUUUGCUUCCUAUUUUCUUCUCAUUCACUCAUCCGCAUCCUUGCUCCCCAGAUGUUCUGCUUUUUUUUGUUUUAAAUCUAAACGAGAUUUUGUCUCCUAAUUAUUAAUUUAUUUUCCUUACAAUAAUCAUGUGAAUUAUCUUACAAUUUACUUUUUCUUUAAUAAAAUGGUGAUGGGAUUUUCAUUACAUGUGGAAAGUAGAA
RNAcentral lists this long non-coding RNA (1425 nucleotides) under Manihot esculenta (cassava). Its description in RNAcentral is "long non-coding RNA (MESC_LNC008970)". Lineage: Eukaryota; Viridiplantae; Streptophyta; Magnoliopsida; Malpighiales; Euphorbiaceae. The record is from RNAcentral.